GUAACAGCAAGAAGUAACACUGUAUGUAUGUAUAAUAUUCAAAUAUUAAACUAGGAGUAAUUGGACAAGCAGUUUUCCAAAGUUUAUUUUACAAAAUUUUCAUGCUAAAAGCAAGCGGUAGCAAAGCAAUUGCUUCAUUUAAAUUAUUAAUCUUUACUUGUAAAGAUUAAUAUGUUGCAGUUGACAUGAAUCGUGAUGAGCCAAUCCGGUAUUGUGUAAACGCAGUCUUAUUCCUCAAUACAUUACCCGAUGUUCCUGGUAUUUUACGUAUAUUACGUGUAUGGCAAUUAGUGUCCGUCCGACAAAUGGUGUUGCAUUUUUAAUCAGUUGCUACUAAUUUGAUGUUGGAAUUUUUAUAAAAGGAUUUGAAACACUGUGGGCGUGUGCAUCUGUAGUGAUCAUCCUAUUAACACAUAAAAUGUACUCUUGCCAGCAUGCGGUCAAUAAAAUACUCUUGCCGUUUAAAGCGCCAAUGAUAACAUGAAAUCACAUUGCUUUUCUAACCUAGUGAAUCUCCUUGAUGCAAAUGAGCAACCGUUCAUAAAGCCAUAUUAUUGCUAUUGUUAUAAAAUGUACUUUUGUCCACCAUGUGUCAGGCAGACUUCGUGUGACGAUAUGUCUUACUCAAGAGAUCUUCAGGAAUUUUUGUGGCGUUUUAAGCCCCGUUUACACACUAUACCGGAUUGCUAUCGUAGCAGGUUGAAUAUUCUUUGUAUUGAAAGGAAGUGAUAUUGUUUAAUGUCAGAAGCACAAUCAAAUAGACUAAAUCUACUAACUUAAUAAUCAUUUAAUCCCCAGGCAGUUAAACCUUUAAACAAAUGAAGAUGUCGUGAUGAGCGAGUCCGGUAUAGUGUAAACUCUUCUUAAUUUUUCAAUACAUGACCGUUUGUUCGUGGUAUUUACGUUGGUGUCAAUUAGUGUCCGUAUUACAAAAGGAAAGGAAUACUGUGUUUUGAAUUUUUAUAAAACGAAUUUGAAACACUGUGAGCGUGUGGAUCACUACGAUGCGUUUUUUGCAUUUGAGUAUGAUUUCUCUUUAUCUGCGUGUGUGCAUACGCCAUGCUGUGCAUGGAUAAAUAUGAUCUAAUAUCUUUAAUCUUAUUGGUGGAAUAAGGUUUUAUUAAGAAACUCUCCAAAGAAGUGUCUUAUAAACAGUGACAGCCGUCUGCACAGAACCAUAGUGGAAAAGUAAAAGCGUGUAUUUCUUGUAUAUUUCUUUACGUGGCUAACUUGGCUUUAAAAGAAAAGAUCGUCAUUUACAAAAAGAUGAACAACAAAGGUGAAAAUACCUGUGCUAAAAAAGAAAACAACGGUAAAGAAAAUCAUUACAAUGGGUUAGAAGAUGGGAACAUAAGAUACGACAGUGCAGUGGAAAAUGAAAGUAUGGAAGAUGGUGAAAAUACUCAACCAAUUCUAAAUUUACCCAUUCAAGAAACGCUUCCUGAACAAUUUUUGUUUGACCUGCAAGACUUGACAAGAGGAGAUAGAUGUGUGAUGGACAUGCUGAACGAAGAUUUGGUUUUAAAUGUUCAAUCAACGUUAGAAAAACUUUAAAGAUUCGUCAACUUCAACGUAAAAUGAUUUAUACUGAAAGAAAUAAUCAUGCACAUUUUUUAUGAUAAAUAGGUUUGUGUAAAACGCAAGAACUCAAGAAAAUAUUUUGUUUUAACCAUUCAAUAAUCAAUGGAAGAAAGGCAUACUUUAAUCUUAUGUACUAAUGAACCAUUUAAAAUAAUUUGUACGUUUUUGUAAAUAUCUUUCUUAAUAAUAUUUAUUUUUAUUAAUGUAAUUAUUAAUAUUUGUUGAAUGGUAAUUUUUUACAUGCGUUAUAAUGCAUAAACCACUGAUAUAAACUCAUACAUUCCUACA
Molecule: long non-coding RNA, 1869 nt
Organism: Xenia sp. Carnegie-2017
Lineage: Eukaryota; Metazoa; Cnidaria; Anthozoa; Malacalcyonacea; Xeniidae
Exons: 2
Source: RefSeq, a predicted model, not a curated record